Molecule: non-coding RNA, 80 nt
Filed under: human gut metagenome
Description: Cyclic di-GMP-I riboswitch
Rfam family: c-di-GMP-I riboswitch aptamer
About the family: GEMM was predicted in a large-scale screen for bacterial structured RNA regulatory elements. Genes associated with GEMM are involved in a diverse array of functions, including chemotaxis regulation, signal transduction, secretion and chitin.
Source: RNAcentral
UUGAAUAUGGCAAAACUAUUGAAAAAUAGUGACGCAAAACUAUAGGGUCUAAAUCCAUUUCGGAUAUGAUUGCCAGUUAC